This 404-nucleotide ribosomal RNA is filed under the name uncultured bacterium. RNAcentral describes it as "bacterial SSU rRNA". It matches the Rfam family "Bacterial small subunit ribosomal RNA", at positions 355 to 775 of the family's 1533-position model. The record is from RNAcentral.
CAAGGAAUUUUCCGCAAUGGGGGAAACCCUGACGGAGCAACGCCGCGUGCGGGAUGACGCAUUUCGGUGUGUAAACCGCUGUUCGGGGGGACGAAGCACUGACGGUACCCCGGAGGAAGGCCCGGCUAACUACGUGCCAGCAGCCGCGGUAAUACGUAGGGGCCAAGCGUUGUCCGGAGUUACUGGGCGUAAAGCGUGCGCAGGCGGCUCGUUGCGCCCGACGUGAAAGCCCCGGGCUCAACCGGGGAGGGUCGUCGGGGACGGGCGAGCUUGAGGGUAUCAGGGGCUGGUGGAACUCCCGGUGUAGUGGUGAAAUGCGUAGAGAUCGGGAAGAACACCCGUGGCGAAGGCGGCCAGCUGGGAUACACCUGACGCUGAGGCACGAAGGCGUGGGGAGCGAACGG